CCUUCUGGAGAUGCGGUCUCCAGUGCUGCGUACAAUACUCCAAGUGAGGUCUCACCAGUGUUCUGUACAAUGGCAUGAGCACUUCCCUCUUUCUACUGCUAAUACCUCUCCCUAUACAACCAAGCAUUCUGCUAGCAUUUCCUGCUGCUCUAUUACAUUGUCUGCCUACCUUUAAGUCAUCAGAAAUAAUCACCCCUAAAUCAUUUUCCUCAGAUGUUGAGGUUAGGACUCUAUCAAAUAUUCUGUACGCUGCCCUUGGGUUUUUACGUCCAAGAUGCAUUAUCUUGCACUUCUCCACAUUAAAUGUCAGUUGCCACAAAUCUGACCAUUUUUCUAGUUUACCUAAAUCAUUUUCCUUUUGGCUUAUCCCUCCUGGAACAUCAACCCUGUUACAUAUCUUAGUAUCAUCAGCAAAAAGACAUACCUUACCAUCAAGACCUUCUGCAAUAUCACUAAUAAAAAUAUUAAAGAGAAUGGGUCCAAGUACAGAUCCCUGCGUUACACCACUGGUGAAAAGCCCAUUGACUACAACCCUAUGUUGCC
This is a non-coding RNA of Pelobates cultripes (western spadefoot toad), 543 nucleotides long. NCBI's taxonomy places the organism in Eukaryota, Metazoa, Chordata, Amphibia, Anura, Pelobatidae. The record is from the annotation of a GenBank genome assembly.